AGACUCUUACUAUUGAUUAUGAUUAUCACUGGUGAUUUUGUUUUUGCAGGUCUACCACCCGAAUAUUGACGUGGAAGGAAAUGUGUGUCUGAACAUUCUUCGAGAGGACUGGAAACCUGUGCUUAAUAUCAACGCAAUAAUCUAUGGCUUAUAUCAUUUGUUCACGGAACCAAAUCCAGAUGAUCCCCUAAAUCAUGAAGCAGCUGAGCAGCUGAGAGACACACCAGGGGAUUUCGAGUACGACGUUAGGACGACAAUGGAAGGAGGAGGUAAAGGCAACAUAUACUAUGAUCGCUGCAUAUAGGAAUAUGCAGUUGAAUGUUGUUUGCUGAUGCUACAAACGGGAAGCUCACAAAGCAGGACACCAAGCCACUUUUUUGUUCUUUUGUUAUUUCAAGUUUGUACUUGAAAUUUGUUAGGGUAGUUCAUGUAAGAGACUGAAAUUGUAGACCCCUGCAUGCAUGAAUUUGUUUCCAAUUUUGUCACAA
Nicotiana tabacum (common tobacco) is the source of this 488-nucleotide non-coding RNA. The record is from RefSeq and is a predicted model, not a curated record. NCBI's taxonomy places the organism in Eukaryota, Viridiplantae, Streptophyta, Magnoliopsida, Solanales, Solanaceae.